This 1370-nucleotide ribosomal RNA is filed under the name Paenibacillus sp. 1_12. Its description in RNAcentral is "bacterial LSU rRNA". It matches the Rfam family "Bacterial large subunit ribosomal RNA", at positions 1551 to 2925 of the family's 2925-position model. Lineage: Bacteria; Bacillati; Bacillota; Bacilli; Caryophanales; Paenibacillaceae. The record is from RNAcentral.
UAAGGCUGAGCUGUGAUGGGGAGCGAAAAUUACAGUAGCGAAGGUCAUGAGUUCAAGCUGCCAAGAAAAGCCUCUAGCCAGGGAGAAGGUGCCCGUACCGCAAACCGACACAGGUGGGCGAGCAGAGUAUGCUAAGGCGCGCGGAAGAACUCUCGUUAAGGAACUCGGCAAAAUGACCCCGUAACUUCGGGAGAAGGGGUGCCUCGGUAGGGUGAAUAGCCCGAGGGGGCCGCAGUGAAAAGGCCCAAGCGACUGUUUAGCAAAAACACAGGUCUGUGCGAAGCCGUAAGGCGAAGUAUACGGGCUGACGCCUGCCCGGUGCUGGAAGGUUAAGGGGAGUGGUUAACCGCAAGGUGAAGCUAUGAACCGAAGCCCCAGUAAACGGCGGCCGUAACUAUAACGGUCCUAAGGUAGCGAAAUUCCUUGUCAGGUAAAUUCUGACCCGCACGAAUGGCGUAACGACUUGGGCGCUGUCUCAACGAGAGAUCCGGUGAAAUUUUACUACCUGUGAAGAUGCAGGUUACCCGCGACAAGACGGAAAGACCCCAUGGAGCUUUACUGCAGCUUGAUAUUGAACUUGGGUACGAUCUGUACAGGAUAGGUGGGAGCCAUUGAAGCAUGAGCGCCAGCUUGUGUGGAGGCGACGUUGGGAUACCACCCUGAUCGUAUCCGAGUUCUAACCUCGCACCGUGAUCCGGUGCAGGGACCGUGUCAGGUGGGCAGUUUGACUGGGGCGGUCGCCUCCUAAAAUGUAACGGAGGCGCCCUAAGGUUCCCUCAGAAUGGUUGGAAAUCAUUCGCAGAGUGUAAAGGCACAAGGGAGCUUGACUGCGAGACAAACAGGUCGAGCAGGGACGAAAGUCGGGCUUAGUGAUCCGGUGGUACCGAAUGGAAGGGCCAUCGCUCAACGGAUAAAAGCUACCCUGGGGAUAACAGGCUUAUCUCCCCCAAGAGUCCACAUCGACGGGGAGGUUUGGCACCUCGAUGUCGGCUCAUCGCAUCCUGGGGCUGAAGUAGGUCCCAAGGGUUGGGCUGUUCGCCCAUUAAAGCGGUACGCGAGCUGGGUUCAGAACGUCGUGAGACAGUUCGGUCCCUAUCUGUCGUGGGCGCAGGAAAUUUGAGAGGAGCUGUCCUUAGUACGAGAGGACCGGGAUGGACGUACCGCUGGUGUACCAGUUGUUCCGCCAGGAGCACGGCUGGAUAGCUACGUACGGAAGGGAUAAGCGCUGAAAGCAUCUAAGCGCGAAGCCCCCCUCAAGAUGAGAUUUCCCAAUUAGUAAGACCCCUUGUAGACGACGAGGUAGAUAGGUUCGGGGUGGAAGUGCCGCAAGGUAUGGAGCUGACGAAUACUAAUCGGUCGAGGGCUUAUCC